GACGAACGCUGGCGGCGUGCUUAACACAUGCAAGUCGAACGGAGAUUCAGCAAUGGAUCUUAGUGGCGAACGGGUGAGUAACGCGUAGGCAAUCUGCCUUCUAGAUGGGGACAACAUCCCGAAAGGGGUGCUAAUACCGAAUGUUGUACCGUUUCCGCAUGGAGAUGAUACUAAAGGUGGCCUCUGAAUAUGCUACCGCUAGAAGAUGAGCCUGCGUCUGAUUAGCUAGUUGGAGGGGUAACGGCCCACCAAGGCUUCGAUCAGUAGCCGGUCUGAGAGGAUGAACGGCCACACUGGGACUGAGACACGGCUCAGACUCCUACGGGAGGCAGCAGUGGGGAAUCUUCCGCAAUGGACGAAAGUCUGACGGAGCAACGCCGCGUGAGUGAAGAAGGUUUUCGGAUCGUAAAGCUCUUUCGUUAGGGACGAACGUGCUCUUUGUGAAUAAUGAGGAGUAAUGACGGUACCUAAAUAAGAAGCCACGGCUAACUACGUGCCAGCCGCCGCGGUAA
This 512-nucleotide ribosomal RNA is filed under the name uncultured bacterium. RNAcentral's name for it is "partial 16S ribosomal RNA". It matches the Rfam family "Bacterial small subunit ribosomal RNA", at positions 28 to 523 of the family's 1533-position model. The record is from RNAcentral.